UACAUGAGCAAAAUCUCAACUUUAUUAGAAGAGACGCAUUUAUUAGAUAAAAAGCCAAUGCAUGCUUUUACAGUAUGGAAAUUGGUGAUUUAUAAUAACUUGGCAAAUCGCAAAGUGAAAACAGGCGAUAAAUCAUUCAAGUUUCUGACCUAUCAGCUUUCGACGGUAUGGUAUUGGCUUACCGUGGCAGUGACGGUUAACGGGGGAUUAGGGUUCGAUUCCGGAGAGGGAGCCUGAGAAACGGCUACCACAUCUAAGGAAGGCAGCAGGCGCGCAAAUUACCCAAUUCUAACAGUUUGAGAGAGGUAGUAACAAGAAAUAACAAUACAAGGCAAUUAAAAUGCUUUGUAAUUGGAAUGAUAGAAAUUUAAACCCUUUUUAAAGUAUCAAUUGGAGGGCAAGUCUGGUGCCAGCAGCCGCGGUAAUUCCAGCUCCAAUAGCGUAUAUUAAAAUUGUUGCAGUUAAAAAGCUCGUAGUUGAAGUUCUGCUAAAAGUAACCGGUCUGCUUUUAAUAAAAGUGGUAUCUUGGUGUGUAUUUAGCAAUGAUGUCCUUUGAAGUGUUUUUUACUUUAUUGUAAUAAAGCAUAUUCAGGAAUUUUACUUUGAGAAAAUUAGAGUGUUUCUAGCAGGCCGACGCUUUGAAUACUGCAGCAUGGAAUAAUAAGAAA
RNAcentral lists this ribosomal RNA (668 nucleotides) under Hepatozoon canis. Its description in RNAcentral is "bacterial SSU rRNA". It matches the Rfam family "Eukaryotic small subunit ribosomal RNA", at positions 168 to 824 of the family's 1831-position model. Lineage: Eukaryota; Apicomplexa; Hepatozoidae. The record is from RNAcentral.